AGAGUUUGAUCAUGGCUCAGGAUGAACGCUAGCGAUAGGCCUAACACAUGCAAGUCGAGGGGCAGCACAUGACGUAGCAAUACAGAUGGUGGCGACCGGCGCACGGGUGAGUAACACGUAUGCAACCUACCUUUCCACAGGAGGAUAACCCGUUGAAAGACGGGCUAAUACUCCAUAACACAGGGGUCCCGCAUGGGAAUAUUUGUUAAAGAUUUUUUCGGUAGAAGAUGGGCAUGCGUUCCAUUAGCUAGUUGGUUGAGGUAACGGCUCACCAAGGCAACGAUGGAUAGGGGAACUGAGAGGUUUAUCCCCCACACUGGUACUGAGACACGGACCAGACUCCUACGGGAGGCAGCAGUGAGGAAUAUUGGUCAAUGGAGGCAACUCUGAACCAGCCACGUCGCGUGAAGGAUGACGGCCCUACGGGUUGUAAACUUCUUUUAUACAGGAAUAAAGUGAGUCACGUGUGAUUUUUUGCAUGUACUGUAUGAAUAAGGAUCGGCUAACUCCGUGCCAGCAGCCGCGGUAAUACGGAGGACCCAAGCGUUAUCCGGAUUUAUUGGGUUUAAAGGGUGCGCAGGCGGAAGAUUAAGUCGGCGGUGAAAUUUUGCAGCUCAACUGUAAAAGUGCCAUCGAUACUGGUUUUCUUGAGUGUGGAUGAAGUAGGCGGAAUUUGUGGUGUAGCGGUGAAAUGCAUAGAUAUCACGAGGAACUCCGAUUGCGCAGGCAGCUUACUAGGCCAUAACUGACGCUCAGGCACGAAGGCGUGGGGAUCAAACAGGAUUAGAUACCCUGGUAGUCCACGCAGUAAACUAUGAUUACUCGCUGUUUGCGAUACACCGUAAGCGGCUUAGCGAAAGCGUUAAGUAAUCCACCUGGGGAGUACGUUCGCAAGAAUGAAACUCAAAUGAAUUGACGG
RNAcentral lists this ribosomal RNA (919 nucleotides) under uncultured bacterium. Its description in RNAcentral is "bacterial SSU rRNA". It matches the Rfam family "Bacterial small subunit ribosomal RNA", at positions 8 to 916 of the family's 1533-position model. The record is from RNAcentral.